AAGUCGUAACAAGGUUUCCGUAGGUGAACCUGCGGAAGGAUCAAUCCAAAUAUAUACAUUUAAAAAAAUGUAUUUUUUACUAAUGGUGAUUAUUUGUAAAAGUUUACUUUUACUAUAAUUGUCGUGAUUACAAUUAGACGGUGUCUAAGUAAUCGAACCAAUUUUAGCCAUUUGAAAUAAAUUUAAAUUUGAUACACAACUAUUAGUGGUGGAUCACUUGGCUCGCAGG
This 229-nucleotide unclassified non-coding RNA is filed under the name fungal sp. RNAcentral describes it as "partial internal transcribed spacer region". The stretch from base 1 to 46 matches the Rfam family "Eukaryotic small subunit ribosomal RNA", at positions 1786 to 1831 of the family's 1831-position model. The record is from RNAcentral. Lineage: Eukaryota; Fungi.